GAUGAACGCUGGCUACGGGCUUAACACAUGCAAGUCGAGGGGAAACGACGGGGAAGCUUGCUUCCCCGGGCGUCGACCGGCGCACGGGUGAGUAACGCGUAUCCAACCUGCCUCUGACUGAGGGAUAACCCGUCGAAAGUCGGCCUAAUACCUCAUGGUAUCGUCUGCGGGCAUCCAACGACGAUUAAAGAUUUCAUCGGUCAGGGAUGGGGAUGCGUCUGAUUAGAUUGUUGGCGGGGUAACGGCCCACCAAGGCUACGAUCAGUAGGGGUUCUGAGAGGAAGGUCCCCCACAUUGGAACUGAGACACGGUCCAAACUCCUACGGGAGGCAGCAGUGAGGAAUAUUGGUCAAUGGGCGAGAGCCUGAACCAGCCAAGUAGCGUGCAGGAAGACGGCCCUAUGGGUUGUAAACUGCUUUUAUGCGGGGAUAAAGUGAGGGACGGGUCCCUCAUUGCAGGUACCGCAUGAAUAAGGACCGGCUAAUUCCGUG
Molecule: ribosomal RNA, 491 nt
Filed under: uncultured bacterium
Lineage: Bacteria
Description: partial 16S ribosomal RNA
Rfam family: Bacterial small subunit ribosomal RNA
Source: RNAcentral